GUUAAGCGACUAAGCGUACACGGUGGAUGCCCUGGCAGUCAGAGGCGAUGAAGGACGUGCUAAUCUGCGAUAAGCGUCGGUAAGGUGAUAUGAACCGUUAUAACCGGCGAUUUCCGAAUGGGGAAACCCAGUGUGAUUCGUCACACUAUCAUUAACUGAAUCCAUAGGUUAAUGAGGCGAACCGGGGGAACUGAAACAUCUAAGUACCCCGAGGAAAAGAAAUCAACCGAGAUUCCCCCAGUAGCGGCGAGCGAACGGGGAGCAGCCCAGAGCCUGAAUCAGUGUGUGUGUUAGUGGAAGCGUCUGGAAAGGCGCGCGAUACAGGGU
This 327-nucleotide ribosomal RNA is filed under the name Escherichia coli. Its description in RNAcentral is "partial 23S ribosomal RNA". It matches the Rfam family "Bacterial large subunit ribosomal RNA", at positions 1 to 365 of the family's 2925-position model. Lineage: Bacteria; Pseudomonadati; Pseudomonadota; Gammaproteobacteria; Enterobacterales; Enterobacteriaceae. The record is from RNAcentral.